RNAcentral lists this ribosomal RNA (497 nucleotides) under uncultured bacterium. Its description in RNAcentral is "partial 16S ribosomal RNA". The stretch from base 20 to 373 matches the Rfam family "Bacterial small subunit ribosomal RNA", at positions 47 to 390 of the family's 1533-position model. The record is from RNAcentral.
GAUGAACGCUGGCGGCGUGCCUAAUACAUGCAAGUCGAGCGAACGGACGAGAAGCUUGCUUCUCUGAUGUUAGCGGCGGACGGGUGAGUAACACGUGGAUAACCUACCUAUAAGACUGGGAUAACUUCGGGAAACCGGAGCUAAUACCGGAUAAUAUUUUGAACCGCAUGGUUCAAAAGUGAAAGACGGUCUUGCUGUCACUUAUAGAUGGAUCCGCGCUGCAUUAGCUAGUUGGUAAGGUAACGGCUUACCAAGGCAACGAUGCAUAGCCGACCUGAGAGGGUGGGUGGACAGACGGGAGGUGAGGUACGGAGGGGGCUACUGCGGGAGGGAGCAGUAGGGAAUGUGCCGAGAUGGGCGAGAGCCGGAAAAAAUCAGGUGACGAGAGAGAUAAAAGUGUUCGGAUAGGGAGAAUGUGUGAGUAGGGAAGAAAAGAGGUGUAAGUGACUGUUCAGACCUUGAAGGUACGGAAUCAGAAAGAAAAGGAUAACUAAGUG